Molecule: long non-coding RNA, 2636 nt
Filed under: Monodelphis domestica (gray short-tailed opossum)
Lineage: Eukaryota; Metazoa; Chordata; Mammalia; Didelphimorphia; Didelphidae
Description: lncRNA (ENSMODG00000049734.1)
Source: RNAcentral
AUGGAAUCUGAUCCCAGAAGGAAUAGAUAUUCUAAUAACACACGGACCACCCCUGGGUUUUCUAGACUGGGUCCCCAAGAAGAUGCAGCGGGUGGGCUGUGUGGAGCUGCUGAACACGGUGCAGAGGCGAAUCCAGCCCCGACUCCACGUCUUUGGACACAUCCACGAAGGUCAGUGGCGGCCCAGGCGAGGACGGGCGGGGGUGGUGAGGGGAGCCCCUCACAGGCUUGCACCGGUGGGAGUGCCGCUCCGUCCCUCACCUGCGGGGGCGCUGUGGCCGGAGGAGGCCAGGGGGGUGGGUCCGGCUCAGCCUUAUCUCAUCGACCCUCCGGAUUACCUGGGCUCCUGGGUUCUGCCAUUUCACAGAUGAGGAAACUGAGGCAGACAAGGGUGAAGGGACUGGCCCAGGGUCACACAGCCGGCGGGUGUCCAAGGCCUGGGGAGCCUUUCCCGAGCUUCUCCCCUUCCCUCUGAAGAGCGUCUAACAGGCGCUUCUUGUGUCCUAGGCUACGGAGUCAUGGCGGACGGGACCACCACGUACGUGAACGCGUCUGUGUGCACUGUGAACUACCAGCCCGUGAACCCCCCCAUAGUCAUUGAUUUACCGACGCCCCGAAACUCCUGAUCCCUCCCGGCCGGGCCGCCUCCCCCUGGCCCGGGCCGCCUCCACCCCGUGUAUGUCCUAUUUAAUGUGUUAAAGGCCAUCCCCCGCCUCAUGACGCCACCCGCUGUUGCCGUGUCUCAUUCUUGAACGACGCUCGGACCCCGCCGGCCCCCUUCUGGGUUCUGCUCGGGGCCAGGCAGGGGAGAUUUGGUUAGGACAGACCUUCGGGCAUGGCCGGCCACAGGGCCAGACGGGGCAGCCAGGACAGGCAGGAGACCGAAGGCUUCCUCGAAGCCCAUCGGUGUAGUGGGUGGAGCGCAGGAAUUGUAGUCAGACCGUCUGGGGUUCAAAUCCUGCUUCAGACACUCACGGUGUGACCCUGGGCGAGUCACUGUGGGAGGACUCGGGAGCCUCCAGCCCCUCCCCGCUUCCUCCCAUUCCCCUUCCUGGCCCAGGGCAGGCCCGGGUUCUGGCCUCGGAGAAGCUUUCUGGCCCAGGCCGGCGAUGAGGGCUUUUCCCGCAAAGCUGUAACCUGUGUCUGUUGUGAAAAUAGCAAAGCGCUCCGGGGCCAUCUUGGAAGCGCUCAAACCCUCGAGGGGCCUUUCCCGGCCACGGCCACUCCGUGCUUGGCCCCGCCCCAGGCCCCGCCCCGGAGGACCCCACUCCCUCCGCCCCGCCCCGCCCCGCCCGAGUGUCGGGUGGAAACAGUUUGAUUUGGAGAAAUUUGCCAUGUGGGUGUCCAUACUGUGUGUCUGCUUGCGGAAACAGACAGCUUGGGAGCCCAGGCUGGAAGUGCUCGCGGGCGAUCGGAGAGGCUUCAAACCCAGCACACAAACACACGCCCCACCGCGUGCCUUCCCAGAAGCCUCCGCGAAAUGGUCUCCGGCCUCCUGACGCUGCCGCUCCCCGUCCUCUCUGCCGAGCAGAUGGACAAGAGCAUCCUUUAGCUCAGAACCUCGCCGAAUCCCAGCUGUCCGGAGAGCAGCGCCACGAGGGCCCGUGUUCCCAUCAACAACUCGCCCCGUCGGGCCUCGGUUUCCCGGUCUGUCUGCUAAACGAGGGGGCUAGACAAGAGGCCGAGAGCCUUUCCCACUUCGUAUUCAAUGUUCUAGCAACCUUCUCUCCCCACCUGCCACCUCCUCGGUCUUCUCCUGCUGCCCGACGUCCUGUGUUCUCGUCGCACAGCCGCCCCUCUUCUAUCUUCCACCUUCUGUGGUCCGAGAUCCCUCUGAGCCCUGCAAGGGUCCCAGGGCCCCUCCCAGGUCUCGCAGUCCCUGUUCCAAGGCCCCUCCUAGCUCGGACGUUCCUCUGCUCUGCUCUAAGGUCCCUCCCAGCGAGGCUCUCCGGGUUCACAGACCGCCCCCUCCCCAGGGCUCACGUUCUAUGACGCGUCCCUUGUCUGGUGUGAGCUUUGAGUUGAUGCUGUGCCCGAAUUCAGACCUGGAAUCUCCCAGGAACCCUCUCCACUGGUCCGAGAAGCCCGGCUCCCCCAAGACGACAAGGGUUUCCUUUCUUGGGCUGGGCUGGACUCAUUCUGCUGGACUGGACCCAGUGGGUUUCAGGGCUCCUUCGAGGCUUCCUUAACCAGGAAGGGGUCCCUGAGGGGGGCCUCAUCUUGGCUCAGGACAAGGUCAUGGGCAGCAGGUGCCCCCAUUCCUGGAAGUCGGCUGGAAGGCAAAGAAGCCAGAAAUGUUUACGUUGACCUUCUCAGUGCUUCAGAUACUAAAAAUACUAGGAGAGGGGGGUGGCGGCAAGAGGCCAUUUCGUUGGCCUCUCCUACAUUUGUAUGUCAGUCAUCAAAUACUCUCUUUACAAAACCAUUUUUCCUAAGGUAUGUUCAAAAUAUUGUGUAUUUUUAUGUGGAAGACGUUAUGAACACAGCUGCUCCUUUAAAAGAAAAUUCAUUAAAAGGACUUGAGGUAUGAACGAUUAGAGAGCGCUCUUUAAUCAUUCUGGCAGAACUGGAUUGUUCCUGUAAUUUUUUUGUCAAGCAUGUUAGACAAAUAAAAUCUUUCAAAGAGCAAAUGGCCCC